Non-coding RNA from Pelobates cultripes (western spadefoot toad), 202 nucleotides. NCBI's taxonomy places the organism in Eukaryota, Metazoa, Chordata, Amphibia, Anura, Pelobatidae. The record is from the annotation of a GenBank genome assembly.
AGAACACAAUGGUCAGAGCAUCAAUGGCUACAGGUUUUUGGCUGGUGCCUGAAUAUGUAUACAUGGCAGUAGAGUAGACAUUUCUUAAAGGGUUACACCCCCGCCCUACAUUUUCCAUAGAUGCGAGGGGGAGUAACAUCAAGGAAGGCUUCAGGGAGAACUUUGUUUCAGCACUGGAUUACAGCUUAAAGGAACACUCUAG